RNAcentral lists this ribosomal RNA (481 nucleotides) under uncultured bacterium. RNAcentral describes it as "partial 16S ribosomal RNA". It matches the Rfam family "Bacterial small subunit ribosomal RNA", at positions 28 to 507 of the family's 1533-position model. The record is from RNAcentral.
GAUGAACGCUGGCGGCGUGCCUAACACAUGCAAGUCGAACGGAGAUUACGGACGGAAGUUUUCGGAUGGAAGCCUGUAAUUCUUAGUGGCGGACGGGUGAGUAACGCGUGGGCAACCUGCCCUAUACAGGGGGAUAGCAGCUGGAAACGGCUGGUAAGACCGCAUAAGUCGGCGAGACCGCAUGGUUUUGCCGGGAAAUGAGCAAUCAGGUAUAGGAUGGGCCCGCGUCCGAUUAGCCAGUUGGCAGGGUAAAAGCCUACCAAAGCAACGAUCGGUAGCCGGACUGAGAGGUCGGACGGCCACAUUGGGACUGAGACACGGCCCAAACUCCUACGGGAGGCAGCAGUGGGGGAUAUUGCACAAUGGAGGAAAAUCUGAUGCAGCGACGCCGCGUGAGUGAAGAAGUAUUUCGGUAUGUAAAGCUCUAUCAGCAGGGAAGAUGAUGACGGUACCUGACUAAGAAGCCCCGGCUAACUACGUG